GGGCUUGUUUGGUUGCAGCCCUUCCCGAAGGGUUCCCCUCGUUUUCCCCGGCCCACCAUUCCCUGGGCCGAACUGCCCCGGGUAAGCCCACACGAACGUUUGGAUAGCCACGAGUCAUCUUUUCCGCGUCCUUUCCGCGUCCAUCCCCGGGAGCCCGUUCCACCACUCGAGACACGAGGAAGAGAAUCCGCGACGGGAGGCGGCGACGCUGCUGGGAGCGAUGCUCUCGAUCUCGUCUUCCUCCGGCGACCGGAGGACAUAUCGGACCGGAGCCUCCGCCAGCCUCCGCCCCCCACCCCCCGCCUCCCCUCUCUCCCUCUCUCCACUACUCGCCGCCUUCAGGACCUACCGGAUCCGCACCGCGCCGCCGCCAAUCCAGGCCGGCCGCUACUGCCCCGACCUCGAGGCGAGAGCCCAACCUGCGUGUCCUUACCUGUCCCCCUCCGUUCUUCUCCAUCUCCCAAUAUCUGCGCAGCCGCAAUUCUACUGUCCCCUCAGGCGAUGACGACGGCCGGCGGUCGGGAUUGACGAAGGGAUGUGAGCACCAAUUCCUUGCUAGAGUUCUUUGUGCUGCUCUGGAUCCGUAUGCAAAUCCUGUUCCAUGAUUCUUAGUUGCCUGAAGCAUUAACUGAAACAUUGGAGUGCAAGGCUUAUUUUGGACGCAAGUCGUAGAAUGAGUAGAGCAACGGUAUCUCUGGGAGUUGAUGUUCCAGAAAAAAAUCUCUGAAUUAGGAUUGUGUAUAGUCAGAUCUGCCAUCCAUCUUGCUGCGUUCGAAUUAAUCUCAUCAUCUAUGGUUAGAUUAUUUGAUAUACUAGAUUUUAGGUACAAUCUAAAGUUACAUAGCAGAUAAUAUUCUGAUGGAUGGUUUUGCUGUAUAUUAAUGACCACUGACUUUAGACCUAUAUGCAGAAGGCCACUGAAUUUUAAUCGUUGCAGAACAAUGACUCGUUGUAUAGCAACAUCACACCAAUGAAGUACUCAGCUUUCGGCAAAGUCGAGCAUCCAACCUCCAUAUGAUUAAUUCACAGGAAGUUCAGAGAUAUAUAUUGUCAGGGAGUGCUAGCAACAAGUGUUCUUUCUGUGAGUAGUAUUUGCUAUACCUUUGCACUUCAUUCUGCUAUGGUAACCAACUGGGAUGAGUUAACGGACUGAAUUCUUGCCGCUUCCGACAUUUUUCUACUCUUCUCUGUAUAUGCUUCUUCUGACAUUUUUGUCGCGGCAGGAUAUGUCAGCUUCAUGUCUGGUGUAUCUCGUCGUCAUGCUGACAUUAGUUUAAUUUAUACACAGAAGUUCCAAAACAUAUAAUUACUUUCCUAACAUGUGCUUUAGUGCAAAAAUUUGUAACUUUUGAGCUGCAUGCUUUAGUGCAAAAAUUUGUAUGAUUUACUUGUGCCUACACUACUACUUGUUCUAGUACAUGUAAGUAGGACCCAUAACAUGUUCAAAUGUUCAUGUUCAUUUUCAGUUCUCGUUGGAAAACUUGUAGUAUAAGAAUAGCUUGCUUUCUUGCUGAAUUUGACAAACUGAGAACUGACCUCCUUAUUUUAUUUUAUUUUAUUUGUUUGUGAAGUUAGCAGGCCAAACCUUCUUCGCCGACCUUGAAGUUAUCAUUGCUUUGACCACGGUGAGGUCAUCCUUGCAUCUAGCGCCUCUGCAUCCUUCCUCUUGGGAAAAGUCUUUGUCGCUGCCCCACCUUCUUCGUCGAAGGGAUGGUGGUCUAGCUGUGGGCCGACAAGUGACAACAACUAGCCCUACCUGUCCUGUGAGCCACCUCCGGCGAUUCUGCUCCAGCUAGGCGGCAUGGAGAUGGUGCGUAGGAUGGGUGGUCUCCUUGUGUGAUUCUGCUCCGGUUCGGUGGUUGGGAGCUCGCAGUCAGAGCCGGCGGCAGGCUCUGAGAGGUUGUUGGUGAACCGUGGCUCCUCCACGCUGGAACGGGAGCAUGGGCCCGGGGGCGAUAGCGAUGAGUCUGUUUGCUAGGGGCAAGCUCCCGUCGUGGACGAAAAUGAGAAUGUGGGGACGAGGCCAAAGCUGGAACGGGAGCGACACAGCGAGCAGAGCGGCCAUAGGAGGGAGCUCCGCAUGCGUGGAGUAGAGCGAGCCCCCGGCAGCUCUCCGACAGCGAGCAAGGUUAGGCGGGACGACACCGCCAUGGGAGCCCCCUGACAGCGAGUGGAGCGGCAGCGAACAGCGGGAAGGACAGUCCGAAGAGAGAAGAUUUUAUGUCCUGAAAUUGGCAUGAAAUUUUAUACUUAGAAAGAAGGGAACUAUUUUGUAUAUAUUAACCUGCUGCUCGGUGAAAGAAAAGAACUACUUGUAGCGAAUAAUGAAUGAUCCGUAUUCAAUUUCCCUUCCAUUCCA
This is a long non-coding RNA of Lolium rigidum, 2359 nucleotides long. RefSeq lists it as uncharacterized. The transcript has 2 exons. The record is from RefSeq and is a predicted model, not a curated record. NCBI's taxonomy places the organism in Eukaryota, Viridiplantae, Streptophyta, Magnoliopsida, Poales, Poaceae.